Molecule: ribosomal RNA, 253 nt
Filed under: uncultured bacterium
Lineage: Bacteria
Description: partial 16S ribosomal RNA
Rfam family: Bacterial small subunit ribosomal RNA
Source: RNAcentral
UACGGGGGGGGCAAGCGUUGUUCGGAAUUACUGGGCGUAAAGGGCUCGUAGGUGGCCAACUAAGUCAGACGUGAAAUCCCUCGGCUUAACCGGGGAACUGCGUCUGAUACUGGAUGGCUAGAGAUUGGGAGAGGGAUGCGGAAUUCCAGGUGUAGCGGUGAAAUGCGUAGAUAUCUGGAGGAACACCGGAGGCGAAGGCGGGUCUCUGGGCCGAUACUGACGCUGAGACGCGAAAGCGUGGGGAGCGAACAGG